RNAcentral lists this ribosomal RNA (459 nucleotides) under uncultured bacterium. Its description in RNAcentral is "partial 16S ribosomal RNA". It matches the Rfam family "Bacterial small subunit ribosomal RNA", at positions 338 to 795 of the family's 1533-position model. The record is from RNAcentral.
CCUACGGGGGGCUUCAGUGAGGAAUAUUGGUCAAUGGCCGAGAGGCUGAACCAGCCAAGUCGCGUGAGGGAAGACGGCCCUACGGGUUGUAAACCUCUUUUGUCGGGGAGCAAAGCGAACCACGUGUGGCUCAUUGAGAGUACCCGAAGAAAAAGCAUCGGCUAACUCCGUGCCAGCAGCCGCGGUAAUACGGAGGAUGCGAGCGUUAUCCGGAUUUAUUGGGUUUAAAGGGUGCGCAGGCGGUGGUGCAAGUCAGCGGUCAAAUUGCGGGGCUCAACCCCGUACUGCCGUUGAAACUGCAUGCCUUGAGUGCGCGAGAAGUAUGCGGAAUGCGUGGUGUAGCGGUGAAAUGCAUAGAUAUCACGCAGAACUCCGAUUGCGAAGGCAGCAUACCGGCGCGCAACUGACGCUCAUGCACGAAAGCGUGGGUAUCGAACAGGAUUAGAUACCCCUGUAGUC